RNAcentral lists this long non-coding RNA (3206 nucleotides) under Mus musculus (house mouse). RNAcentral's name for it is "long non-coding RNA chr8:114801850-114805056". Lineage: Eukaryota; Metazoa; Chordata; Mammalia; Rodentia; Muridae. The record is from RNAcentral.
UCUAUCACUCAUUGCCCAUGUGAUGUGACGUCGACUCUGUGGUUUGACAGCAUCCUGUUUUCCUUCUGUAAGGGGACAGUUAAAAAAAGAAACACUUGUCUCCCAGGGAUACACGUCACUGGCCUAUGUACACGUAUGGCACCUGAAUGUGCCAGGCUAGAGUUUAGCUAGAGCUUUUCCUGUGCCCUUCCUUUGUCCUUCGCUCCUCCCACUGGAAGCAAGGGUUACUUUUAUAAUAUGAAAAAUGAAUGUAGACUUAGCCAAGGGCUGGUGAGCCUAUUUCCAUGGUCUGGUAUCUUGCUUGACACCAGAGGGUGUCUCCAAAUGGAGGAUUCUCGUGAUGGGAAUUGGGCAGAGCUAGUCUUCAAUCCAGAUUUGAUCCUGAUGGGUUUCCUCACAUCAUCCCUCCUAGACCUCCCGAGCUCCCACAGACACCAAUUGUAAAAGAGCAGACAUCACCUGCCAAAGACACUCACUUGACGAUGCUUGAUCUCCUGGGACCUAGCUGUGGAAACUCGAAUGAAGAGGGGAACCUGACUCUGUAGGGCGUGAUAGGGCCUGUGUUCCUCCGGCUGGAAAGAUGAAGAAUAUCACAAGGAAUCUGAAUGAAGGAGAAGAAAGGCGUUCUGCACAGUACCACAGUGGAUGUUGCCAGGUCUAAACUCACUCUCUCGCUCAUUCAGCCUUUGAAUUUUGGUAGGAAUCCUUAGAGUCCAAGCACUCAGGAAAACCAUGUUGCUUGCAAUUGUCAUGGAGCAAAACUGAGGUAGCAAAAGCCCGUCUGCAAAGGUGGAAAUUUGCCUUGGAGUUGGACCUUGGCAGAAGGCUACAUGAGGCCUUAGGUAAUCCAAAAGGCAGGUGUAUGCCCAGUUUUUGGUUUUUGGUUUUUAUUUUUUAUAAAAGACUCAGCAAUACUUUGUGAGUAAAUGGUUCCUACAUCAACCUUCUAAACUGGCAUGAUGUCAAAUGAUAAUUCAGGGAAGGCAUUUCUACAGGAAGCAGAGAUAAUAAGCCCCGAGUGCUUUUGUUUUCUGCCUUUGUUUCUUAAUGCAGGGAAAACCUUCAGCCUCCCAGUUAAAAACCCAGAUGAGGGGCUGGGAGUCGUCACAGUCUGACCCCUGAGGACAUUAGUCCAAUUUUGUUCUGUAACCAGAACAAGUAGCAAAAUGAGACAGGACAAAAGAAACAAGAGAUAACAUUUACUUCUCGGUUUAAGGGUGUGCAUGUGUGCAUACCUGCAUGUGUGUGUGUGUGUGUGUGUGUGUGUGUGUGUGUGUGUGUGUAGUGGGUAGAAUAGGGGGUUGUGGGAAUGCUUUUUUUCUUACCGAUGUCAUAGCUCUCCAUCCAGUGUCCCCAGGGUUCCUCGGGGACACAGGCUGAUUUCCAUUGUGUCAUCUGGUACAAGUGUCCCUGAUUGCCACUAGAGGGCGUCACAACAGCUACAAAGUGCUUUAAUCUGAGGUGUCCUAUGUCACUGGCUCUCAGCCUCUCAGCUGCCUAUUGGCUAGACUUGACUGGUGUCUCCAGGGACUCUGAUGUAAGACCUCUCUAUGGUCACAGGGGGGAAGAAAACAAGACGUCACAUCCUGCACCUUUACUACAGGGUUGCACCUCAGGUCCGGGAGAGACUGGCAUAUAGGUUGAUAUGACAAAGUGGAUGACAAGGCCAAAGGACAGUAGCUUGGCCACUGCAGCUUUAACCUGCACUAUAAACAGAAGCCCAGAUAACCCCAUAGGAACAUUGUGUUGGCUGCAAAGCAUGCAUCUACCAAGUGCUAUGGUGAACACUUCAAAUCCCAAAUGGCAUGCAAUAUAAGAAUCUCAACCCAGCACUGCUCCCUGAAUUAAGGGAUCUCAAAUGUCCUACUUCCUCGAGUCCGUGGGUCCCCAGACCUUACCUGCCAUGCUCUGUGGAUUGUAAAGGACCAUAUCCCCUUAGCAUACCCUCAUGAUCUGUCGAUGGGUGUUGAAUGCCUCAUAGGGUUAUAUAUAGCCUGGCGCCUGGUAGCUACCCUGUCUUGCUGUUUGUAACUCAGAAACCCUGUUUCUUUGUGUCAAGGACAGUUGAAGCUUUAAUCAUCACCAUGCUGCCCGUUUCCACAGCCUUCCCUGAAUUACUUGUCAAAGAAGGGGUUGUUAUUAGGGCAGUGUAAUGAAAGGUAAUCUGUGCUUACAACCCUGGCUUUGAAAGCCUGUGGUGGUAGUGAAUGGGGGUUGUUACAAUGAGAGAAGCCUGAGCAAGUAGAGAUGCCUGUUUUCUACCGUUAAGGUGUCUGUGACUCAAAAUACUUAUAUGUUUGGUUAAACAUCUAGCACAAACUCUCCUUUUUCUUUUCUUUUUUUUCUUUUCUUUUCUUUUCUCUUCUCUCUUUUCUCUUCUUUUUUUCUUCUUCUUUUUUUAUGGUUUUUCAAGACAGGGUUCCUCUGUUUAGCCCUGGCUGUCAUAGAGCUCACUCUGUAGACCAGGCUGGCCUUGAACUUAGAGAUCCUCUUGCCUUUGUAUCUGGGGAUUAAUGGCAUGUACCACUACUGCCUGGCAAGGCUCUUAAUCUUCAGUGAAUAAAAAUCAAGUAUAGGAACCAAUCAUUUGGUAAGAAAGUAAAGAAAAGGACACUAAUAUUCACUCUAGUUCUAAUGGUAAACACUGGACAUUUCUCAAUAAGCUUUCAUUCCAUUUGUUAUUAAUGAUAUAAUACAAGCCUCUUAUUACAAUGCAAUCUAAACAACGAUUCAUUGAGGGCACUUUAUGGAGCAUGUUGAAGCAGGUACUUACUAGUCCCCAACCUUUUGAUGUAGGCUCCAUCUCGGCCUUUCUUACUAAGCAGAUGGUUCCGGCUAGGCAGAUGCGGAAACAGUGGUUGACGGAAGUAAGUGACUAGCAAAGUCAAAGAGGUCCUAGGCUGAAGAACUCAGGUGCAGCUGCAGGGCUGCGUGACAAUCCAGACCAUUUUCCUGUACCUCCGUGCCCAGCGAGAUUAUUGAGAAUGGGAUUAUAGAUCUGAGGAGGUGGCUCGACGAGCUAAGUGCUUGCCUUGCACCCUGAAGAUGUGAGUUGGAUCCCCAGAGCCCAUGGGAGAGGAUUGGGUUUGGUACUGUGUGUUUGUAAUUCCAGUGCUGGGGAGGCAGGGGCCAGAGUAUCCCUAGCUUGCCGGCUUGCCAGUCUAGUCAAAUCGGCGACUUCCAAGUUUAAUGAAAGGCCUUCUCUC